GACGAACGCUGGCGGCGUGCCUAAUACAUGCAAGUCGAACGCAGUGGGGACGGGUGAGUAACCCGUGGGUAACCUCCCAUCAGAGGGGAUAACACUUGGAAACAGGUGCUAAACCGACAUUGAUGUAUGUACUCGCUGUGCAUGAGCUAGUUGGUGAGGUAACGGCUCACCCAGGCGACGAUGCAUAGCCGACCUGAGAGGGUGAUCGGCCACACUGGAACUGAGACACGGCCCAGACUCCUACGGGAGGCAGCAGUAGGGAAUCUUCGGCAAUGGACGAAAGUCUGACCGAGCAACGCCGCGUGAGUGAAGAAGGUUUUCGGAUCGUAAAACUCUGUUGUUAGAGAAGCGGUAUCUAACCAGAAAGCCACGGCUAACUACGUGCCAGCAGCCGCGGUAAUAC
RNAcentral lists this ribosomal RNA (403 nucleotides) under uncultured bacterium. RNAcentral's name for it is "partial 16S ribosomal RNA". It matches the Rfam family "Bacterial small subunit ribosomal RNA", at positions 28 to 526 of the family's 1533-position model. The record is from RNAcentral.